GUGACACCUGGACAAAUAUGGAUGCACUAAAGCUGUACUUCAUUCUGCUUCUACCACCAACUGCAUGCUCACAAGAUUUAGGAGGAGAAACUGUUGGGAAAACAAUUGGGAAACAACCAGAUUUCACUCAAAUAUGAAAGACAGAACAUCACCACGCUGAUCGUUUGUAAGAUCAGAAUAAGAGAGUGGAAGGAGGAAAUUGUUUUCUGCUGUAGGAAUAUGGACGGGGCUUUGUUCAUUAAUGUGACUCCAGGUUUACGCUGAUGAAAGAAAAUCAGACUGUGUUUCUCCACCUGAUCAAUUUAACAUCAGAGGACAGUGGGAGCUACACCUGUCAGUGUUCAGCUCCCGAUGGAACAAAAUGUCACUGUGGAAUGUCACUUCUUCCCACUCUAUUAAAAUGACAUUGAACUGUU
Neolamprologus brichardi is the source of this 416-nucleotide non-coding RNA. The record is from RefSeq and is a predicted model, not a curated record. Lineage: Eukaryota; Metazoa; Chordata; Actinopteri; Cichliformes; Cichlidae.